UCAUAAUGUCCUUUAGUUUUGUUGAAUGUGUUUAAAUGUAAACAAUAGCAUCUUUUUACAUAAACAGGUAUCCUUAUGUUAUUAAUUUUUUUACAAAAACAAAUAAUAGUUCAAAACAAAAAUUUUAAUUUAUGAAAAAAGAAGUUGCUUAUCUCAAAAGAAUCGAAUUCAAAUUAGUUGAUGACUAUAAACUCACUGAUGCACCGUUAAACGGAAGGUGGUAAUAAAGUUUACAAAAAUUGCUCUGGCUGAAUUUUUCAAUGAAAAAACAAUAUGUGUGCUAUGAAUGUAAUCUGUUUUUCAUGGCGUAUCAAUGAAAGUUUGGUGUAUUGGCCAAAUCACUUGUAAGCAUCUUGCCCUUAAACUGCCAUACUGAGCUUUGCUUGACUAUCUCUUUCGAUUUAUUGAGUUUAUUUGCCGGUUAUAGAUGAAAAAAGAUCUUUUAAACCUAGAAGAAGAAUUAUGGAACAAAGACACCUUAUGAAUCAAUAGUAUAUAUCAGUGAAUUGAUAUUAGUUAAUAGUUUUUGGAAACAGUACCAUAUACUAUUAAAGUUUCUAAUUGUUAAAAUAUAUACAUUUAUAUAAAACAUACAAACAAAUGAUACAAUAUGAUACGUGAUUGACUAUAAUUAUGUUGUAUAUCAGAAUGUUUUAUAUAAAUGCUUAUUACAUUUUAUAAUGAUUAUUAUCUUUUAUGUCCAGUUAGCAAUGUAUUUUGUGUAGCAAUGACUACUAAUCUCAGAUAUCUAUGACAUCUGUAGGGUGUAUCCACCGCUACAGAUGUCAUAAUCUAUUUAUAACCAAUUGCUUUUACUCUUCCAUAAUGUCAUAUUUUAAUAAGAAUCACAUUAUGGAAAACCGUCUAAUACAUACACAUGAGGAACCAUUAUACUUUUAGUACAACCAAUUAUAUUACAUUUAUUUUCUUAUUUUAGAUGAACUUGCUUACUUCGGUUGGAGGAGAUGAGAAACAACUUACAGCGGCAAUCUUAAUACUACUAAUGGCCAAAGAAGUAUGUUUUUUAUACUCAGUGUAUGGAAUGAAACAGAAACGACCUGCAAGGUCGUUAUAGAGUUGCGUUUAGUCGUUUAUCGUUGUAUUCGUUCAUUUCGAAAUCGCUACUGACAAAAGUAUUAAAGAAAAAAUUGGCAGCUUUCUGGCGACGGCCAUUAAUAGAGAUUAUAUAAGAAAAUAGAACCGUAACUGAGCAACACCCAAUAUUGAGCAAUGAAAUAAGUAUCGCCAAUAUAAUUAAAGUCGAUGCCCACUAUCUUAUAGUGAGAGUAUAAUACAGUAGUUUAUAUAUAUAUA
This is a long non-coding RNA of Hydra vulgaris (swiftwater hydra), 1314 nucleotides long. RefSeq lists it as uncharacterized. Lineage: Eukaryota; Metazoa; Cnidaria; Hydrozoa; Anthoathecata; Hydridae. The record is from RefSeq and is a predicted model, not a curated record.